AACGAACGCUGGCGGCAUGCCUAACACAUGCAAGUCGAACGAGACCUUCGGGUCUAGUGGCGCACGGGUGCGUAACGCGUGGGAAUCUGCCCUUGGUUCGGAAUAACAGCGAGAAAUUGCUGCUAAUACCGGAUGAUGACGUAAGUCCAAAGAUUUAUCGCCCAAGGAUGAGCCCGCGUAGGAUUAGCUAGUUGGUGAGGUAAAGGCUCACCAAGGCGACGAUCCUUAGCUGGUCUGAGAGGAUGAUCAGCCACACUGGGACUGAGACACGGCCCAGACUCCUACGGGAGGCAGCAGUGGGGAAUAUUGGACAAUGGGCGAAGCCUGAUCCAGCAAUGCCGCGUGAGC
Molecule: ribosomal RNA, 348 nt
Filed under: uncultured bacterium
Lineage: Bacteria
Description: bacterial SSU rRNA
Rfam family: Bacterial small subunit ribosomal RNA
Source: RNAcentral